Molecule: ribosomal RNA, 254 nt
Filed under: uncultured bacterium
Lineage: Bacteria
Description: partial 16S ribosomal RNA
Rfam family: Bacterial small subunit ribosomal RNA
Source: RNAcentral
UACGAAGGGGGCUAGCGUUGCUCGGAAUUACUGGGCGUAAAGCGCACGUAGGCGGCUCUUUAAGUCGGAAGGUGAAAUCCUGGAGCUCAACUCCAGAACUGCCUUCGAUACUGAAGAGCUCGAGUCCGGGAGAGGUGAGUGGAACUGCGAGUGUAGAGGUGAAAUUCGUAGAUAUUCGCAAGAACACCAGUGGCGAAGGCGGCUCACUGGCCCGGUACUGACGCUGAGGUGCGAAAGCGUGGGGAGCAAACAGG